GCUGGAAUUGCUAGUAAUGGCAGGUCAGCAUACUGCCGUGAAUACGUUCCCGGGCCCUUGUACACACCGCCCGUCACACCAUGAGAGUUGGGGAUACCCGAAGCCUGUGAGCUAACUAUUUAUAGGAGCAGCAGUCGAAGGUAGAAUCAAUGAUUGGGGUGAAGUCGUAACAAGGUACC
This 179-nucleotide ribosomal RNA is filed under the name uncultured bacterium. RNAcentral's name for it is "partial 16S ribosomal RNA". It matches the Rfam family "Bacterial small subunit ribosomal RNA", at positions 1325 to 1500 of the family's 1533-position model. The record is from RNAcentral.